This 253-nucleotide ribosomal RNA is filed under the name uncultured bacterium. Its description in RNAcentral is "partial 16S ribosomal RNA". It matches the Rfam family "Bacterial small subunit ribosomal RNA", at positions 524 to 776 of the family's 1533-position model. The record is from RNAcentral.
UACGUAGGGGGCUAGCGUUGUCCGGAAUCAUUGGGCGUAAAGAGCGUGUAGGCGGCCCGGUAAGUCCGCUGUGAAAGUCGGGGGCUCAACCCUCGAAUGCCGGUGGAUACUGUCGGGCUAGAGUGCGGAAGAGGCGAGUGGAAUUCCCGGUGUAGCGGUGGAAUGCGUAGAGAUCGGGAAGAAUACCCGUGGCGAAGGCGGCCGACUGGGCCGGAUCCGACGCUGAUGCGCGAAAGCGUGGGGAGCAAACAGG